RNAcentral lists this ribosomal RNA (496 nucleotides) under uncultured bacterium. Its description in RNAcentral is "partial 16S ribosomal RNA". It matches the Rfam family "Bacterial small subunit ribosomal RNA", at positions 28 to 506 of the family's 1533-position model. The record is from RNAcentral.
GAUGAACGCUGGCGGCGUGCCUAAUACAUGCAAGUCGAGCGAACGGACGAGAAGCUUGCUUCUCUGAUGUUAGCGGCGGACGGGUGAGUAACACGUGGAUAACCUACCUAUAAGACUGGGAUAACUUCGGGAAACCGGAGCUAAUACCGGAUAAUAUUUUGAACCGCAUGGUUCAAAAGUGAAAGACGGUCUUGCUGUCACUUAUAGAUGGAUCCGCGCUGCAUUAGCUAGUUGGUAAGGUAACGGCUUACCAAGGCAACGAUGCAUAGCCGACCUGAGAGGGGGAUCGGCCACACUGGAACUGAGACACGGUCCAGACUCCGACGGGAGGCAGCAGUAGGGAAUCUUCCGCGAUGGGCGAAAGCCUGACGGAGCAACGCCGCGUGAGUGAUGAAGGUCUUCGGAUCGUAAAACGCUGUUAUUAGGGAAGAACAUAUGUGUAAGUAACUGUGCACAUCUUGACGGUACCUAAUCAGAAAGCCACGGCUAACUACGU